GUCGACCAAAGUCAACUCUGUGCCUUCAAACUUGCUCGCUGAUUGAUCGGGAUCGGGAUUGGUUCCACGUUGCCGUUUUUAACGAUUCUUAUGAAACACCUACAAAUCAACCACAAACCAUUUCCAAAUUUACUAAACUCUAUAUAAACAACAUCCUUGCACAAUCUCAACGCCACACACUUCACUCACCGUAACCACCGAGAACCACCACCUCCCUGUUGAAAUCAAGUUCACCGGAGCUCUGACCGGAACCUCACCGGAGAAGACGUCUGCGUCCGGAACCUCACCCUGUUCGAAUUCUCGCCGAAGUCGCUACGUCGGAACUCACGACAUCCUUUUGUUUGGUAUACUUUCUUAAUUUUCUUGUUCCCUCGAUUUAGUCCACUAGUAGGGUAUACUAACUUUGAUUUUUAACACCGGAGGAGUCCGACGUCCUCGGAGAAGACAACCGGAGUUUCGCCGGAGUCCCAAGCCUUUCUGAUCCGAUAGCAAGUCACCGGAAACUCAAGCAAUCGUCGGAGCUUCGCCGGAGAACACGGAGACGUCGCCAGCUUUUCGUUUCGGUAUAGUGUUCUCGUUCCUUUGUUUUGCUCGUUUACUUUUCAGAUUAAAUACAAUAAAUUCUGACUUGAUAUUACAUACAAACGCCUGGAAAUAUGGGUCUUACCAUAACAGAUUACGUAUGGUUCUUUCUUUUAUAAUGAAGAAGAUGGCACCAAACUCUUAAGGUUAUCUUAAUAUAUAUAACUUUGCCUUUUCUUUGUAAAUGAAACUAACUGUUAAAAAGUUUUGCAAUGUAAAAUUAUUUAUUUUAAGAUUAUAUAAUUAUAUAUUUUAGUAUCACAACUAGAUUAGGAUACUACGACCAUAUAUAUGUUUUUUUUAAAAGGUUUUUUUUUCACAUCGAAUUAAGGAUAUUGAAGAUGACUGUUACAAGAGUUAUGGAAAUAAAAAAAAAAGUCAUUAGAUACGUGGUUCAUGACAUUAAAUUUUGAAUACAUUAUUAUUUUCUUAUUUAGGUUGUCACAAAUUUUGUGAAUUUUAAAGGUUAAUCAUGAAAUCAAAUUGUAAUAUGUAAUUAUUUUGUAAACCAUAAAACAUUAAGGGUUAUACUUAACCUACAAAUAAUAACGAGUUCGUUAUGUGUUAUUUCAUAUAUCUAGGAUAACCCAUCUCGUUUAUUCUCUUGGAAUUCUCCAUUUUUACUCGUGCGUUAUUACAAGAAAUCGCAACGCAAUCAAUGUGAGUAUACAUGACCCAUUUUCGUUUUACACUUUUGGGUGCAAUAUGUAUUACAUAUCAAACAUCACAACACAUUAAACAUUUUAUGCACACUCAUUCCAUAUUCUAUGUGACACACUUUAUUCAUGUUAGACAUGUUAUGCUACUGUAAACACCUAAUGACUAUGUGUUCAUUAACUUCGUACAAGCCUCCCCUAACAAUGGUAGCGCUAUAGGUUGAGAAACGCCCCUCCUGUUCUAUGAGCAGGUAUUGUUAGGUUUAACUAUGUCAACCUACUCAAACUCGUUUGGGUACACUUUAAUUGCGUUAAACUUUGGUUUGGGCACAUAGAGUAACAUCGUUUCGAGUAUAUACUGUUUACAUGAUAUUGUAUUUUACAUUUGGAUAUGAGUAAACAUUUUAAACACGUACUAUGCUAUGUAUGAAAACUUGUUGAUUGAUCAAGAUACAAGAAAACAAGCUAGGAUGGCUUAGAAACUCAUUCUAGAAAUAAACUAUUGCUUGAAUUUAUAUUUGAUUGUUUGAAACUUUGUAUUAUCCUUUAGAAUUUAAUAAAAUGAUUUAAUUUAUAUUGU
RNAcentral lists this long non-coding RNA (1818 nucleotides) under Helianthus annuus (common sunflower). RNAcentral describes it as "hypothetical non coding rna". Lineage: Eukaryota; Viridiplantae; Streptophyta; Magnoliopsida; Asterales; Asteraceae. The record is from RNAcentral.